Molecule: long non-coding RNA, 3375 nt
Organism: Acinonyx jubatus (cheetah)
Lineage: Eukaryota; Metazoa; Chordata; Mammalia; Carnivora; Felidae
Exons: 4
Source: RefSeq, a predicted model, not a curated record
AUGUGCACUUUUUAAAAAUUCAACUAUAAUUAACAUUCAGUGUAAUAUCAGUUUCAGGUGUUCCAUAUGGUUCAGUGAUUUCAUGCAUUUCUCAUGCUCAUCACAAGUGUACUCUUGAUCUAUUUCACCUCUUUCAGCCAUCCCCCACCCAACUCCCCUCGAAUCAGUGUGUUUUUAAAGAGAAGGUUGUUGUUUAAUCUCAUUUUUUUUUGUCAUUGUCCAACUAAGAACUUUUUGUUUUUGACGUCUAGUUUGAGUCAUUUGUGGUCUGAGAACAUACUUCCUAUGAUUUCCUUUACUUUGUUCAGAUCUCUCUGUGACGUCCCAAAUACCUGCUGUAAUUUUAUAAUGUCUUCAGGGAAUGACUCUGGUCAAGGAAGCACUUUUUGCACUUUCUGGAAACGUUUGUUUUCAUUUCUAUUGUUGCUUGUGUGAUUUCUCUAGCCAUGUCCCACUUCUUUUCUGAUUUGAAAAUCUUCGUUGUUGGUGAUGUGGGAAAAAUCAUAGGACCUGAUUUGAUAGAAUUGUUUGUCAGUUCAGGAAAUAGCCAACUGCAGGAGACAUUUCUCCAGUGUUUCUGGUAGAGUCGAGUAUAUGAAGGUUCACCUCUCCCUUAACGAAGUUGAUACCAGCGAAGUGAAAUUGAAGUCUGAAAAGCUGCCUCUGCAGAAAGAAAAUACUCAACUUAAGAUCCAAAAGAAUAAGGUAACAAAAUUUACUAUCAAAUGUUAUAUAAAUCAGAGAACUGAACAUCAUUACUUUCUUUUUAAGUUUCUCUUCUUUAACUGGGGUAAAAUACAUGCAUUAGAAAGUUUCCCAUCAUAAACAUUUAAGUGUACAUGUUAGUAUUGGGAAGUACAUUCUCUAUACUGUACAUUCUUCUAUAGUCAUUCCACCUUUCUCAAAUCUGUCUUAAAGUCAGGAGAUACUACUGCACGCAUCAAGGAUUCGAUGCAGGGAGUCUUGACGUCUAAUAAUGUAACCUGGAAUAGGUGUUGCUUUGGGGUGAGGGGGGGUAGAAAACUGCACUUGAUAGAAUGAGUUUGCUCUGGGAAGGUAAAAAGUGGCUCCCUGCCUUGGGAAUCUUGUCCCUUCUCCUCUCCCCCCUCAUGGCCACACUCGUGGGAACAGGUGUGCACACUCAGGUAAACUGUUUUAUGCCUGACAGGCAGCGAAAGGGAACUGGGGACAACUGUGAUGCACUUAGGAGUGUGAAAGGGGCGAAGAACGCCAAAUGGGACACGCUGAAGAAGAAUGUAGACAUUCGUGAUGGAAUGUGUGGACAAAGACAGAAGCUCACAGAAGAGGAGCUGGGACUGAAAGAAUGGGAGCAGGUGGAAGGGGAGAAGCAGCUGUCAGUUACAGAGGGGAAAGUGAAAUUAGCUGCAGAAGAGCUAUGGAACUGCAAGUGAGUGCAGCUCCUACCAGCAGCUCAUGCGACAGCCAUUGAAUUAGUUUGAAACUUUGUAUAGUGUUUAGACCCAAAUAGCACACAAAUAUACACAAACAUUCAGGAGACAUUCACUUCAAGAGAGAUGUGACCUUUUCCAGAUGUUAAGUUAAAAAUAUUAACCUGAGCAAGUUAAGUAACUAAAGAUUUCCUGAUCCCCAGCUGGCCAGACUAUGUGGAAAUGUGGUUCCUGAACAUGUUUCUGGAGGUGCUGGAAAUGAUUACAAACCUCAGGAAGCAGUUUGGUCGAGGACAAAUCACAUCGACAAGCAUGACCAUCCCAUUUUAGAGACCCACUUGUUGUAACCAUGAGAAAUAUGAUAAGGAUACAAGGAAAAGAAGAUUUGAACUUUACAAUGAAAGAUCUUCAUUGCAGAAUUAGGGAGCUGUCACCACAGGUAAGGAGACCGUGUCAACGUGGAGCCCCACAGGCAUUAAAUAAUAAAUCCAAGAUGAUGUAGCGAUGGCUUUGAGCUUUCUGUACUCUCCUCCUCAUGUGAAAUGUGUUUUAUAUGAUUGGGUCGUGUGUAUGAGAAUUCAGUUCUUAUAAUGGGAACCUGGGCCAAUUAACAUCAUCCUCAACAGGGUGCUUCAUCUGAUGAAGCCAUUGCAUGCCCAGGAGAAGAGUAGAAGAAACACAAGAACAGCUGCAGCAGUCAGAGCUCACCUUCGGACACCAGGUAGCCUGCACUCUGCCUAGUAGUUCCUGAGUGCUUCAGCACCUAACGCAGAUGAUCAUAACGGGACACUGAAUCUCUCCACAUGGGUUUUAUUGAUGUGCUGACUCUUUCAGAUUGCUCUUUGUGAGAAGGCACUUCAGGACAACUGGGUAAGAAUGUUUUACUCUCCUCCUCUUGUGCACACCCUGCCACAGCUGAACGUGGAUGUGUUUCUCUCUUGAGCUCAGGGCUCAUGAUGUGGAGAGGGCAGUGGCGGAGCAGAGCAGGGGGGUCGCCUACUUGAAAUGCAGGUACAGGGUUUUGACAGGCGCUGUGAGGUUUUUAAAAAGGCUAAACCGUUUGGUGUCCAAUGGAGGCCUGGGUGUGGUAACUCUUAGUGAAACUGAUUCAUCUCGAUCUUCAAGACUGGAAGUCAUCCAAAGACAGAGGCUUCCCGAGGAAUUCAGGAGGCACAAACCAAUGGCAAGAGCACCUGACAGGGAGAUCCUUCCAUGGAGAGGUACGGAGCACAUUGUGAAAUGCAGUAGCUUAACUUCUGCGGCAACAUCCACAAAAUCGGCUUCUUGUUCCAGUGGGAGUAAUUGCUUGGUCUCAUACAAACAGUCCCAGGUGGUUACUAGAGGGCACAGGUUGUCCCACAGUGGUCACAAGCCACUGUUUCCCUCAGAUGCCCGCAGCCAGCAGCGCUCUUUGGGUCUGUCCCUUGUGAGUGGUGGAGCUCACGCCUCUCCACUGACUGUGAGCCUCCCUGCAACCUCCCGGUUACACUUAACUGGAGAGUGGGUGCUAGAACGAUCGUGGGUCAGCGCCCCUUCCACCUUGAGACAAUGUUGAAGGCUGUUUCUUUUGUUUCACAUGAAUAACGUGAACAACAGCAUGAACUGGAGGCUGUAUGUCCUGAUGAGCUUUCUUGAUUUGGCUUUUGGAUAAAUGCCCCAGAGAAAAUAUGCUUUGUAUAAAGAAACAGACAUUUCUUCCUCUGUUUAGAGGUCCCUUUAUUCUUUAAUUUUUUUUUGUAUUGUGAACUAUAGUACUCCAGUAGUAAAGUAAAUCCUUGUGAAAUUUCACUCCUCCAAUGUUAUUUUAUUAGUGUAACUCUGAAACUUUGCAGGUCAUUCCACAUAGAAUUAACUUUUCCCUUCCUCAUUACUAUAGUAUUAGUCUCUGCAAGGCAAUUUCUUUUCGUGAAUACUUACAUAAUCCCUUGUCAGAUACAUAAGGCAGAUGAUAUAUACAGUAAACCAC